UCCGAACGUCGGGUCCCAUUGCUAGAUGAUUACAUCGAUUGAUUCAAAAAUCUAUUUCUAUGCUACUGACUUAGGUUCGAACUUAUGGGGUCAUACUCAAAAGAAGUUUCUGACUGAUCAUGUGGCUGAUCAAUGAUUGAAAAUCGUUCAAGAGUUUAAUCAUUAAUUCGAUUGAUGGUUAACCUUAUACAAAAAUUGUAAUAAAUUUAUUCACUAAGUGUUAGUGAAUUAAUAAAGAAUUAAUUAGUAAUUAGAUUGCUAAUUAGCUCAAUUUGAUUAAGCAAAGAGGAUUAGGUCAAAUCUAAUUGAAUUAAAUUCAAUUAGGUUUGAUCCG
RNAcentral lists this long non-coding RNA (334 nucleotides) under Elaeis guineensis (African oil palm). Its description in RNAcentral is "long non-coding RNA (EGUI_LNC009906)". The record is from RNAcentral. Lineage: Eukaryota; Viridiplantae; Streptophyta; Magnoliopsida; Arecales; Arecaceae.